This 387-nucleotide ribosomal RNA is filed under the name uncultured bacterium. RNAcentral's name for it is "bacterial SSU rRNA". It matches the Rfam family "Bacterial small subunit ribosomal RNA", at positions 28 to 417 of the family's 1533-position model. The record is from RNAcentral.
GACGAACGCUGGCGGCGCGCUUAACACAUGCAAGUCGAGCGGUAAGGCCCUUUCAGGGGUACACGAGCGGCGAACGGGUGAGUAACACGUGGGUGACCUGCCCUUAGCUCUGGGAUAAGCCUGGGAAACUGGGUCUAAUACCGGAUAUGACUCCAUGACGCAUGUUGUGGGGUGGAAAGCCUUGUGCGGCUAGGGAUGGGCCCGCGGCCUAUCAGCUUGUUGGUGGGGUGANGGCCUACCAAGGCGACGACGGGUAGCCGGCCUGAGAGGGCGACCGGCCACACUGGGACUGAGACACGGCCCAGACUCCUACGGGAGGCAGCAGUGGGGAAUCUUGCGCAAUGGGCGAAAGCCUGACGCAGCGACGCCGCGUGGGGAUGACGGCCU